CGGCGUGCCUAAUACAUGCAAGUCGAACGGUCUUUCUAUGGAAGCUUGCUUCCACUGAGAAGAUAGUGGCGAACGGGUGAGUAACGACGUGGGUAACCUGCCCAUAAGAGGGGAUAACAUCCGGAAACGGGUGCUAAUACCGCAUAGUUUUCUUGGUCGCAUGAUCGGGAAAGGAAAGACGGCCUUUGUGCUGUCGCUUAUGGAUGGACCCGCGGCGUAUUAGUUAGUUGGUGAGGUAACGGCUCACCAAGACGAUGAUACGUAGCCGACCUGAGAGGGUGAUCGGCCACAUUGGGACUGAGACACGGCCCAAACUCCUACGGGAGGCAGCAGUAGGGAAUCUUCCGCAAUGGACGAAAGUCUGACGGAGCAACGCCGCGUGAGUGAAGAAAGGUUUUUCGGAUCGUAAAACUCUGUUGUCAGAGAAGAACAAGUUGGAGAGUAACUGCUCCAGCCUUGACGGUAUCUGACCAGAAAGCCACGGCUAACUACGUGCCAGCCGCUGC
Molecule: ribosomal RNA, 506 nt
Filed under: uncultured bacterium
Lineage: Bacteria
Description: bacterial SSU rRNA
Rfam family: Bacterial small subunit ribosomal RNA
Source: RNAcentral